This 366-nucleotide ribosomal RNA is filed under the name uncultured bacterium. Its description in RNAcentral is "partial 16S ribosomal RNA". It matches the Rfam family "Bacterial small subunit ribosomal RNA", at positions 338 to 701 of the family's 1533-position model. The record is from RNAcentral.
CCUACGGGAGGCAGCAGUGAGGAAUAUUGGUCAAUGGACGAGAGUCUGAACCAGCCAAGUAGCGUGAAGGAUGACUGCCCUAUGGGUUGUAAACUUCUUUUAUAGGGGAAGAAAACGUUCCACGUGGGGGAUUUUGUAUGUACCAUAUGAAUAAGGAUCGGCUAACGCCGUGCCAGCAGCCGCGGUAAUACGGAGGAUCCGAGCGUUAUCCGGAUUUAGUGGGGUUAAAGGGCGGGUAGGUGGAUUGUUAAGUCAGUUGUGAAAGUUUGCGGCUCAACCGUAAAAUUGCAGUUGCAACUUGCAGUCUUGAGUACAGUAGAGGUGGGCGGCCUUCGUGGUGUAGCGGUGCCAUGCUUCGCUAUCACG